AGAUGAUGAUCCCAAGCCUUCUGGCGAUCUGUUUGCACAAGCCUCUGAGAGGGAUGAAGAUAUUGUUUUCUUUGAUCAGAUUAUGCCGGUAAAGGUUUUCUGGUUUACCCUAUAGGGCUUGUAGCUCAGUUGGUUAGAGCGCGCGCUUGAUAAGCGUGAGGUCGGAGGUUCAAGUCCUCCCAGGCCCACCAGUUACACGAUGCUAAAAGUUGCUAUAUUGGGAGAGUUGAUAAUCCCUUACAGGAAAUUAUUGCCCUUAAUAAAACUUUAUUUUCUAAAAGCAUUCAGAGCUGACAUAGAAUAGAGCUGACAUAGAAUUGAGAAUCUGACAUAGGAAUUAUUGAAAUUGUUUUGGAAUUAUUGAAAUUGUUUUCUAUCAUUUUAAAAGGCUAAAAUAUUCUGUCUCUAUUUUUAAAAUAGCAUCAGGUGUUUUGUAAGAGUGUGAAGUUUUUAAGUGUGAGGUUUUUUAUAUUUUAGUGUGAGGUUUUUAUAAGGGUAUGACGUGAGAGCGUUUUGACCUGUUUUAGGGGCCGUAGCUCAGCUGGGAGAGCACCUGCUUUGCAAGCAGGGGGUCGUCGGUUCGGUCCCGUCCGGCUCCACCAUAAUUUGUUUCAUCAUUAUUGUUAGAAGAAUAGUUAUUGCAAGA
RNAcentral lists this transfer RNA (646 nucleotides) under uncultured Bartonella sp. Its description in RNAcentral is "partial 16S-23S ribosomal RNA intergenic spacer". The stretch from base 115 to 188 matches the Rfam family "tRNA". The record is from RNAcentral. Lineage: Bacteria; Pseudomonadati; Pseudomonadota; Alphaproteobacteria; Hyphomicrobiales; Bartonellaceae.